RNAcentral lists this ribosomal RNA (589 nucleotides) under uncultured fungus. Its description in RNAcentral is "eukaryotic LSU rRNA". The stretch from base 211 to 364 matches the Rfam family "5.8S ribosomal RNA". Lineage: Eukaryota; Fungi. The record is from RNAcentral.
AGUCGUAACAAGGUCUCCGUAGGUGAACCUGCGGAGGGAUCAUUACACAAAUAUGAAGGCGGGCUGGAACCUCUCGGGGUUACAGCCUUGCUGAAUUAUUCACCCUUGUCUUUUGCGUACUUCUUGUUUCCUUGGUGGGUUCGCCCACCACUAGGACAAACAUAAACCUUUUGUAAUUGCAAUCAGCGUCAGUAACAAAUUAAUAAUUACAACUUUCAACAACGGAUCUCUUGGUUCUGGCAUCGAUGAAGAACGCAGCGAAAUGCGAUAAGUAGUGUGAAUUGCAGAAUUCAGUGAAUCAUCGAAUCUUUGAACGCACAUUGCGCCCUUUGGUAUUCCAAAGGGCAUGCCUGUUCGAGCGUCAUUUGUACCCUCAAGCUUUGCUUGGUGUUGGGCGUCUUGUCUCUAGCUUUGCUGGAGACUCGCCUUAAAGUAAUUGGCAGCCGGCCUACUGGUUUCGGAGCGCAGCACAAGUCGCACUCUCUAUCAGCAAAGGUCUAGCAUCCAUUAAGCCUUUUUUUCAACUUUUGACCUCGGAUCAGGUAGGGAUACCCGCUGAACUUAAGCAUAUCAAUGGAAGUAAAAGUCG